UACGAAGGGGGCUAGCGUUGCUCGGAAUCACUGGGCGUAAAGCGCACGUAGGCGGCUUUUUAAGUCAGGGGUGAAAUCCUGGAGCUCAACUCCAGAACUGCCUUUGAUACUGGGAAGCUUGAGUCCGGGAGAGGUGAGUGGAACUCCGAGUGUAGAGGUGAAAUUCGUAGAUAUUCGGAAGAACACCAGUGGCGAAGGCGGCUCACUGGCCCGUUACUGACGCUGAGGCACGAAAGCGUGGGGAGCAAACAGG
RNAcentral lists this ribosomal RNA (253 nucleotides) under uncultured bacterium. RNAcentral's name for it is "partial 16S ribosomal RNA". It matches the Rfam family "Bacterial small subunit ribosomal RNA", at positions 524 to 776 of the family's 1533-position model. The record is from RNAcentral.